UCCCCGCUUUUCCUCCCUGAGCGGGAGCCUUGAUGUGUGACAGCUAAUAGGCUUUCUAGCCCGGCUAUGCCUGGGCUUUUUUUU
RNAcentral lists this non-coding RNA (84 nucleotides) under Betaproteobacteria bacterium MOLA814. Its description in RNAcentral is "Burkholderia RNA 7 (anti-hemB)". It matches the Rfam family "Burkholderia RNA 7 (anti-hemB)". From Rfam's summary of the family: This RNA motif was identified by computational search in b-proteobacteria Burkholderia. Co-purified with Hfq, expression confirmed by Northern blot. Lineage: Bacteria; Pseudomonadati; Pseudomonadota; Betaproteobacteria. The record is from Rfam by way of RNAcentral.